UUGGUUAAGUUAGAAAGGGCGCACGGUGGAUGCCUUGGCACUAGGAGCCGAAGAAGGACGGGACUAACACCGAUAUGCUUUGGGGAGCUGUACGUAAGCGUUGAUCCAGAGAUUUCCGAAUGGGGGAACCCACUAUCUUUAGUCGGAUAGUAUCCUUACGUGAAUACAUAGCGUGAGGAAGGCAGACCCAGGGAACUGAAACAUCUAAGUACCUGGAGGAAGAGAAAGAAAAAUCGAUUUCCUGAGUAGCGGCGAGCGAAACGGAAAGAGCCCAAACCAAGAAGCUUGCUUCUUGGGGUUGUAGGACACUCUAUACGGAGUUACAAAAGAAAGUUAUAAAUGAAGCGGUCUGGAAAGGCCCGCCAAAGACGGUAACAGCCCGGUAGUUGAAAUGGCUUUCCCUCCAGAGUGGAUCCUGAGUACGGCGGAACACGUGAAAUUCCGUCGGAAUCCGGGAGGACCAUCUCCCAAGGCUAAAUACUCCCUAGUGACCGAUAGUGAACCAGUACCGUGAGGGAAAGGUGAAAAGCACCCCGGAAGGGGAGUGAAACAGUUCCUGAAACCGUGUGCCUACAAGUAGUUAGAGCCCGUUAAUGGGUGAUAGCGUGCCUUUUGUAGAAUGAACCGGCGAGUUACGAUUUGUUGCAAGGUUAAGCGGAAAAAGCGGAGCCGUAGCGAAAGCGAGUCUGAAUAGGGCGCAUAAGUAACAGGUCGUAGACCCGAAACCAGGUGAUCUACCCAUGUCCAGGAUGAAGGUAAGGUAAUACUUACUGGAGGUCCGAACCCACGCACGUUGAAAAGUGCGGGGAUGAGGUGUGGGUAGCGGAGAAAUUCCAAUCGAACUUGGAGAUAGCUGGUUCUCUCCGAAAUAGCUUUAGGGCUAGCCUCGAGGUAAAGAGUCAUGGAGGUAGAGCACUGUUUGGACUAGGGGCCCUUCUCGGGUUACCGAAUUCAGAUAAACUCCGAAUGCCAUGUACUUAUACUCGGGAGUCAGACUGCGAGUGAUAAGAUCCGUAGUCGAAAGGGAAACAGCCCAGACCACCAGUUAAGGUCCCCAAAUAUAUGUUAAGUGGAAAAGGAUGUGGGGUUGCUUAGACAACCAGGAUGUUGGCUUAGAAGCAGCCACCAUUGAAAGAGUGCGUAAUAGCUCACUGGUCGAGUGACCCCGCGCCGAAAAUGUACCGGGGCUAAACAUAUUACCGAAACUGUGGAUGAACCUCUUUAGAGGUUCGUGGUAGGAGAGCGUUCUAAGGGCGGUGAAGUCAGACCGGAAGGACUGGUGGAGCGCUUAGAAGUGAGAAUGCCGGUAUGAGUAGCGAAAGAAGGGUGAGAAUCCCUUCCACCGAAUAUCUAAGGUUUCCUGAGGAAGGCUCGUCCGCUCAGGGUUAGUCGGGACCUAAGCCGAGGCCGAUAGGCGUAGGCGAUGGACAACAGGUAGAGAUUCCUGUACCAGUGCUAAUUGUUUAACCGAUGGGGUGACACAGAAGGAUAGGGAAUCGCACGAAUGGAAAUGUGCGUCCAAGCAGUGAGUGUGAGAAGUAGGCAAAUCCGCUUCUCGCGAAGCAUGAGCUGUGAUGGGGAAGGAAAUUAAGUACGGAAGUUCCUGAUUUCACGCUGUCAAGAAAAGCCUCUAGGAAGAGUAGUACUGCCCGUACCGCAAACCGACACAGGUAGAUGAGGAGAGAAUCCUAAGGUGAGCGAGAGAACUCUCGUUAAGGAACUCGGCAAAAUGACCCCGUAACUUCGGGAGAAGGGGUGCUCUAUUAGGGUGCAAGCCCGAGAGAGCCGCAGUGAAUAGGCCCAGGCGACUGUUUAGCAAAAACACAGGUCUCUGCAAAACCGUAAGGUGACGUAUAGGGGCUGACGCCUGCCCGGUGCUGGAAGGUUAAGAGGAGUGCUUAGCUUCGGCGAAGGUACGAAUUGAAGCCCCAGUAAACGGCGGCCGUAACUAUAACGGUCCUAAGGUAGCGAAAUUCCUUGUCGGGUAAGUUCCGACCCGCACGAAAGGCGCAACGAUCUGGGCACUGUCUCAACGAGAGACUCGGUGAAAUUAUAGUACCUGUGAAGAUGCAGGUUACCCGCGACAGGACGGAAAGACCCCGUGGAGCUUUACUGCAACCUGAUAUGGAAUGUUUGUACCGCUUGUACAGGAUAGGUAGGAGCCGAAGAGACGUGUGCGCUAGCAUACGAGGAGGCAAUGGUGGGAUACUACCCUGGCUGUAUGACCAUUCUAACCCGCCACGCUUAGCGCGUGGGGAGACAGUGUCAGGUGGGCAGUUUGACUGGGGCGGUCGCCUCCUAAAGAGUAACGGAGGCGCCCAAAGGUUCCC
RNAcentral lists this ribosomal RNA (2330 nucleotides) under Listeria monocytogenes. Its description in RNAcentral is "partial 23S ribosomal RNA". It matches the Rfam family "Bacterial large subunit ribosomal RNA", at positions 1 to 2321 of the family's 2925-position model. Lineage: Bacteria; Bacillati; Bacillota; Bacilli; Caryophanales; Listeriaceae. The record is from RNAcentral.